This 516-nucleotide ribosomal RNA is filed under the name Photobacterium damselae subsp. damselae. Its description in RNAcentral is "bacterial SSU rRNA". It matches the Rfam family "Bacterial small subunit ribosomal RNA", at positions 65 to 560 of the family's 1533-position model. The record is from RNAcentral. Lineage: Bacteria; Pseudomonadati; Pseudomonadota; Gammaproteobacteria; Vibrionales; Vibrionaceae.
AGCGGCAGCGACUUAACUGAACCUUCGGGGAACGUUAAGGGCGGCGAGCGGCGGACGGGUGAGUAAUGCCUGGGAAUAUGCCCUGAUGUGGGGGAUAACUAUUGGAAACGAUAGCUAAUACCGCAUAAUCUCUUCGGAGCAAAGAGGGGGACCUUCGGGCCUCUCGCGUCAGGAUUAGCCCAGGUGGGAUUAGCUUGUUGGUGAGGUAAUGGCUCACCAAGGCAACGAUCCCUAGCUGGUCUGAGAGGAUGAUCAGCCACACUGGAACUGAGACACGGUCCAGACUCCUACGGGAGGCAGCAGUGGGGAAUAUUGCACAAUGGGGGAAACCCUGAUGCAGCCAUGCCGCGUGUGUGAAGAAGGCCUUCGGGUUGUAAAGCACUUUCAGUAGGGAGGAAGGUAGUGUAGUUAACACCUGCAUUAUUUGACGUUACCUACAGAAGAAGCACCGGCUAACUCCGUGCCAGCAGCCGCGGUAAUACGGAGGGUGCGAGCGUUAAUCGGAAUUACUGGGCG